CAAUAGCGUAUAUUAAAGUUGUUGCAGUUAAAAAGCUCGUAGUUGGAUUUCUGGUAGGAGCGACCGUGCCGAACUUGAUUGUUCGAGUAUUGUGUUGUCUUCAGCCAUCCUCGCGGAGAACUUUUCUAACAUUAACUUGUUGGGAUUGGGACCCGCGUCGUUUACUGUGAAAAAAUUAGAGUGUUUAAAGCAGGCAUUAGCUUGAAUACAUUAGCAUGGAAUAAUAAGAUAGGACUUUGGUACUAUUUUGUUGGUUUGCAUACCAAAUUAAUGAUCAACAGGAACAGUUUGAGGAUAUUCGUAUGAACAUGUCAGAGGUGAAAUUCUUGGAUUUUGAUCAGACGAACUACUGCGAAAGCAUUUAUCAAGGAUGUUUUCAUUAA
This 383-nucleotide ribosomal RNA is filed under the name uncultured eukaryote. RNAcentral's name for it is "partial 18S ribosomal RNA". It matches the Rfam family "Eukaryotic small subunit ribosomal RNA", at positions 592 to 976 of the family's 1831-position model. The record is from RNAcentral.